UACGUAGGGUGCGAGCGUUGUCCGGAAUUAUUGGGCGUAAAGAGCUUGUAGGCGGUCUGUCGCGUCUGCUGUGAAAAUCCGGGGCUCAACCCCGGACUUGCAGUGGGUACGGGCAGACUAGAGUGUGGUAGGGGAGACUAGAAUUCCUGGUGUAGCGGUGAAAUGCGCAGAUAUCAGGAGGAACACCAAUUGCGAAGGCAGCUCGCUGGGACGUAACUGACGCUGAGACGCGAAAGCGUGGGGAGCAAACAGG
RNAcentral lists this ribosomal RNA (253 nucleotides) under uncultured bacterium. Its description in RNAcentral is "partial 16S ribosomal RNA". It matches the Rfam family "Bacterial small subunit ribosomal RNA", at positions 524 to 776 of the family's 1533-position model. The record is from RNAcentral.